UUAAAAUAGAUUUGAUGUUUUUUUUCAUUUUAAUAACUUUUUAAAAAUUGAUUUUUUAAACGAUUUUUAAAAAUUUAAAAUAAUUUUUUUAAAAAUUAAAAAAGUCCCCAUUUUUUAUUUUGGGAUAUUUAACGUUUACUUUUAUUUUAAUCAUUUAAAUUAUUUAUUAUAUUUUAAUAUUUAACAAUUGUUUUGUUAAUGGUAAUUUCGAAUUUAUAAUUGAAAUUAAAGGUAUUAUUGUCAUUUUGAAAAUACUUAGCCUAAUGAGACAUAAAUAAUAUGAGAUUAGUCUAAUAGAACAUAUUUAUCAUUUUUCGGUCUAAAAAAACAAUUUUCCCAUUUUUUCUUUCCGAAACAGGAAUGGAAGAAUACAUCUUUGCAUCCGUUUUAUUUAUUUUUACUAGUUAAUAACCCGGGCUUUGCGUGGAAUGUGAUUAUUAGUUUCGUUAUCCUCUAUAUACUAAAGCACAAGUCACUCAACCAAUCUUAUUUUGCCAUGUAAUAUUUGUUUACAAUUGUUUUUAAAUAAAAUCAAAUAAACCUAGAAAAAGCCUAUGGAAAAAAUACUAAACAACCCAUGAUCUAAUCCACGACCUAUUUUCUUUGUCCACGAUUUUUCUCUUUUCGCAUUCCUAUCUCUUCGAUUCGAUAUAGAAAACUCAAAAUCAAUCAAUAACAGAAAUAUGCUCCGUCUUUGAUUUCAAAACCUUAAUUCAAUAACAGAAAUAUGCUCUUUUUUUUUAAUUUCCAUAUUGAAUGCCCUGGGCCAGUGCAGAGGUACAUCUCUGAGUAAACGAUCUCAGUAACCCAUAGAUCCCGGCGAGGCUAUCUUACUCUGUGUGCAGUUUCGCAGGCUUCAGCGGAGAAACAUAUUGGCUCAUCUGAUCCAUUCUAGAGUCAAGAAAGUUCUAGAAAGGGUGGAUAUGUUUGAUCAGAAUGAUAUGAAUUGCUAGAGACCCACAAGAAAGAGAGGAAGAGGAAAAUAAAAAGCAGAGGCAGAUGAGGUAAAAUCACAAGACUGCCUUUUGAUCAAAGUUAUUAUAGGGACUAGAGAAACAUGAAGUGUUGAAGAUGACAAAAUUGUUGCUGCCCAUCAUGGGGAACAACGAUUAAAUUCUCAAACAAAUUAACAGAGGUAUAUUAACUGCAUGUAUUUGUUAAUUGUUUCAGUUUCUUGGUAAAAUGCUCCAUAGUCGCUGGUAUCAAUAUUUUUUUUGGUUUCCGGUGUUUGAUAUCUCAAAUUAUUCUUCAACUUAUUAUUAAUCUCAAAGGUAUUUGUUACGUUCUCUUUCUCGCAUGUACAUAUAAUUUCUUAAUUAUGCUUUCACAUCCACAUAUCAUUUAGAUUAGAGUAUUUAAUCGAGUUUGCAUGGUUUAGUCAUGUCUGAUGUAUUGCUUAUCAGUUAUGUUAUUUAGUUUAAAAGGUAUAGCAUCAUACUUUAAGUACUAAAGAUCAUAUAUUCUCAAGCUAAUGAGUAAAUUAAUUUUAGAAUUUACUAAUUAUUUUUUCAAUUGUUUACUGGUUUUUUUUAUAUGCAGAUGGAGAUACUAAAUAAAGUGUUUUUUGUAAUGAGUAAAUAAGGUAUUGGUAAGCUAGAAAAUGACCAAUCUAUAAUUUGUACUUUUCUAAUACUCUUGGGAAUGAGGUUCUUUUGAACUUUCAAUUUCGUUGAUUUUUAAAUUAAAUUGUAAUCUAUUUAGGCUUUCCUUAUUCAUAUAUUGCCGAAUAGUAUGAUUUUUCAAAGUGUGAUAUUGGGAAGAAUGAUAGACUAUAGUGUGAUUUGGCUCUAAAAGGAGUUAAGUUCAGUUGCUCAAAAAAAGGAGUUAAGUUCAAUAGCUAAAAGCUCAUUGCAGAUUCUAGACAUUAAACUAUCAUAACAGAGGUAUGGUUUUAUUUAAUGUUCCUUACUGCUCAUAGUUUGCAACUAAAACGUGAUAAGACUGCAAUCUGAUUUCAUAUAUCUUGAUUGAGAAUUAUAUAGAAGAUAUCAGUUUUGCUGAAAAUGGACUUCCACCUGCAGGUUUCAAGGCCUUCAAUGGCACAAAAUAAGUCAGCAAGAAUGAGAGCCUCUUUGGUUGAUAACAAUGUAAGCGCAUCAACCGGAUUAGGAUCUACUGUAGCGACUAAUCAUAAAACAGUUUUGUUCAAGAACUUCAAACUAAUAUUUGUGCUCCAAGAGCUAAUUUUAAUCGAUGUGAAUUUUUAUAAACAAAUUAAACUGUUUUUCAUAUGUUUAGUCAAUGAUAAGUGUGUUAACAUU
Molecule: long non-coding RNA, 2261 nt
Organism: Brassica rapa (field mustard)
Lineage: Eukaryota; Viridiplantae; Streptophyta; Magnoliopsida; Brassicales; Brassicaceae
Source: RefSeq, a predicted model, not a curated record